UCCUCGAUCUGCUGCGGGCAGAUGAAAUGGAUGUGGCUGUCCACCGCGCCGGCGGUGAGGAUCUUGCCCUCGCCGGCAAUCACUUCCGUGCCGGGGCCGACGACGAUGGUGACGCCCGGCUGCGUGUCGGGGUUGCCGGCUUUGCCGAUGGCGUGGAUGCGGCCGCCGCGAAGCCCCACAUCGGCCUUGUAGAUGCCGCUAUGGUCGAGGAUCAGCGCGUUGGUGAUGACCGUGUCCACCGCGCCCUCGGCCCGGCUCGCCUGGGACUGACCCAUGCCGUCGCGGA
RNAcentral lists this small RNA (286 nucleotides) under Aureimonas sp. AU20. Its description in RNAcentral is "5' ureB small RNA". It matches the Rfam family "5' ureB small RNA". Lineage: Bacteria; Pseudomonadati; Pseudomonadota; Alphaproteobacteria; Hyphomicrobiales; Aurantimonadaceae. The record is from Rfam by way of RNAcentral.